RNAcentral lists this ribosomal RNA (776 nucleotides) under uncultured Neocallimastigales. Its description in RNAcentral is "partial large subunit ribosomal RNA". It matches the Rfam family "Eukaryotic large subunit ribosomal RNA", at positions 26 to 643 of the family's 3401-position model. The record is from RNAcentral. Lineage: Eukaryota; Fungi; Neocallimastigomycota; Neocallimastigomycetes; Neocallimastigales.
CGCAUCUGUGCAUGCAGCAUAUCAAUAAGCGGAGGAAAAGAAACUAACAAGGAUUCCCUUAGUAACGGCGAGUGAAGCGGGAAGAGCUCAAAUUUGAAAUCUUCAAGGUUUUACCUUGACGAAUUGUAGUUUAAAGAAGUGUUUUCUGUUGAAGUUUUGGUAAAAGUUCUUUGGAAUAGGACAUCAUAGAGGGUGAGAAUCCCGUAUUUGACCAUUAUUUUCAGCUGUGUGAUACACUUUCAAAGGGUCGGAUUGUUUGGGAAUGCAGUCCAAAAUGGGUGGUAAAUUUCAUCUAAAGCUAAAUAUUGGCGAGGAGACCGAUAGCGAACAAGUACCGUGAGGGAAAGAUGAAAAGAACUUUGAAAAGAGAGUUAAACAGUACGUGAAAUUGUCAAAAGGGAAGCGUUUGACACCAGUGUUGUUUUCUCGAAAAUCAAUUAAAAAGAGUUAGAUUUUGUUGUGUAUUGACCUUAACAGCUUGCAUUUCAAUUUUCUUGCUUUUUUUAAUGCACUUUUCGUUUAACAAGUCAACAUCAGUUUCUUUUGUUUGUAAAAAGGUCAUUGGAAGGUGGCUUUCUUUUCGGAGAAAGUGUUUAUAGCCUUUGACUCCUGCAAUCGGAGAGACUGAGGUCUGCAGCGUAGAUCCUUCGGGGUUAGAUACAUUUGUGCUAAGUUAUAGCUUUUUAUAGACAACUUGUUGACUAUGAUUAGUCUUGUAGCUUACUCGCUUAUGCUAUUUUACCUACGCUUAGGAUGUUGACACACGCGCGUGCUCG